GCUGAUAUAAUUGAUAGGUUCAUUGCCUUCAAAAUAAAUCAAACGGAUGGCUAAUUAUCAUUCUUUGAUCACAUAAAAUAUUGCGAUUUUCUUCUGGAAAACUUUAUUAAUUCCUUCUUUGUGUUCAAACCGCCAUAGUCCUCACAAUCGGAUUUAAUUUCUUUUGUACCUUAUGUAACACGUGACUUGGAAUCUCUGUGCACGUGACAUGAAAGCUUGGUUCUGUCUUUGAAUUUCUAUCAUUCAAGUUUUAACUUCAUCUCUGAGAAGAAUUAAUAGAAGUUUAGGCAUAUUAAUUCAUUAGGUUUAUGUAUACCGCUGAAGUUACAGCCGUUGUUCUCUCUUUCCUUACUGAAGGGAAUUUGGUACGCCUUCGCAGGAAAAAAAAUAAGCUUGCAAUGAAAGUUGAUAAUCCACGUGGAUGUUAUUACGUCCUCCAGUAAUAUGACAAUAAUCAUCAAACGAGCUUUAAUUGUCCGAUAUUGUUUGUAUUGUCGACAAUAUACUGUUUACAAUUAAAGUAAGUUACGGGUUAAGUAGUACUCGUGUAUUAUAUUUAAACUUUUAAUCAUAUUACGUAUUACAUCGGGGAAUAUAUUAAUUGCCGUCACCACUCUUAAAAGUUUUGGAUGUA
This 634-nucleotide long non-coding RNA is filed under the name Mytilus galloprovincialis (Mediterranean mussel). Lineage: Eukaryota; Metazoa; Mollusca; Bivalvia; Mytilida; Mytilidae. The record is from RNAcentral.